This is a long non-coding RNA of Lepisosteus oculatus (spotted gar), 248 nucleotides long. RefSeq lists it as uncharacterized. NCBI's taxonomy places the organism in Eukaryota, Metazoa, Chordata, Actinopteri, Semionotiformes, Lepisosteidae. The record is from RefSeq and is a predicted model, not a curated record.
GUGAAUGGAUGCUUUUAAUGGCUUAUAGAUGUGAGUUAUUUUCCUUCAACCAGGGGUGGACAAGCCAGUGAAGACAGACUGUCAGAAUUGCCCGCAGUUGAUCUGUGUGGCUCCCUGCUGGAGCCCUUGAUGUGGUGAAGACGAUGUGGAAGCUUCUGAAAGCUCCUUCUGACUCAAGCAUGCUUUUGAGGUGAGAGCAGAGAGCAGCAGUUGAACUUGGCUGUGGCGAGGACUUCCUGCUCUGAGCC